AGGACGAACGCUGGCGGCGUGCCUAACACAUGCAAGUCGAACGGGACCAGGGGCAACUCUGGUUCAGUGGCGGACGGGUGCGUAACACGUGAGGAACAUGACCUUCGGCGGGGGAUAGCCGGCCCAACGGCCGGGUAAUACCGCGUACGACCUUUCGGGGACAUCCCUGGAUGGUGAAAGCAGCAAUGCGCCGAUGGAGUGCCUCGCGGCCUAUCAGCUAGUUGGUGAGGUAACGGCUCACCAAGGCGACGACGGGUAGC
RNAcentral lists this ribosomal RNA (260 nucleotides) under uncultured bacterium. RNAcentral's name for it is "partial small subunit ribosomal RNA". It matches the Rfam family "Bacterial small subunit ribosomal RNA", at positions 26 to 287 of the family's 1533-position model. The record is from RNAcentral.